AUGAGCAUCCCUGAAGGCCCCCUCGUCGAGAUCCUCUCGCGGGUGCCCUACAAGUCACUCUGCCGCUUCAAGUGCGUGUCCAAGCCGUGGUUCGCCCUCUGCUCCGACCGAGAAAUCCUCAAGAAGUCGCCGCAGAGCCUAGCCGGAUUCUUUCUCAACUUCGGAGGUAACAUCUGUGUCCGUAAUUUAUCUGGGCGAGGCCCGCCUCUGGUCGACCUCAAUCUCCAGUUCCUGCGCGAGAACUACAAACGCGUGUGGCUUGAACAAUGCUGCGGCGGCCUUCUCCUUUGCGACUGCGCGAAAUCCCGUUCCCUCGGAGGCGGAGGCGGAGGCGGACAUGACUAUGUUGUGUGCAAUCCUGCAACUAAGGAGUGGACUGUGCUGCCUCAUAUACAAUUUUUGGUUCAAGGCAUCGUCAAUGUCGGACCACUCAUUUACUUGGGCUUCGAUGCGGCCGUUCCCUCCCGCUUUGUGGCGUUUGCCCUGUCUGCACCCGAGGCACCAAACCACGGACAAGUGUCUAUCUACUCAUCAGAAACUGGGCGGUGGACUUCUGUUCAGAGUAAGUGGGCCUCUGGAACCACUGUGAAUAGACAUGCAGGGUAUGUGUUUCUGAAUGGCGCUAUGCAUUUGACUACCUUUAGUAACUCAAUAGUCACGGUCGACGCGGAGGGGAAAGUUUGGAGGGAGAUUGAAAUGCCAGAUGACUUGCCAACCCUGUUUACACAUUAUUCCAUUGGCCAGUCUCAGGGGCUCUUGUAUGCUUGGAGGAUUGAGAAUGUUGAUGAUUACCAACUCUAUAUUUGGGUUCUAGAGGAUUACAUUAAUGGAAAGUGGGCACUAAAGCAUACAAUGAGCGUUUUAAAAUUGUUCACAAGGCAUCACAAAGGAUACUCCUAUUCCUAUACCAUGUUUGCAGUCCAUCCAGAUUGUAAUGUGAUUUUCGUUACCAACAAACAGAAGUUAAUAAUGUCGUACAAUAUGGAUAAUCAGAAAGUGCGUGUCUUCUCCACUUCUACACAAUCCAGGUUUGGUCUACCUUACAUUCCCUGUUUUGCAGAAUGGCCGUCAGCUGGUCAGUGA
This 1083-nucleotide ribosomal RNA is filed under the name Triticum aestivum (bread wheat). RNAcentral's name for it is "partial small subunit ribosomal RNA". The record is from RNAcentral. Lineage: Eukaryota; Viridiplantae; Streptophyta; Magnoliopsida; Poales; Poaceae.